GUAAUUGCAGUUUUUGCCAUUGAAAGUAAUGGUAAAAACUGCAAUUACUUUUGUACCAACCUA
This 63-nucleotide microRNA precursor is filed under the name Cebus imitator (Panamanian white-faced capuchin). RNAcentral's name for it is "miRNA (ENSCCAG00000005320.1)". Lineage: Eukaryota; Metazoa; Chordata; Mammalia; Primates; Cebidae. The record is from RNAcentral.